AUAUCUGCUAGAUGUAAAUAGAUCUGUAAGUUAACGAUAUUAUCGUGUUGUAGUUCAUUUUUAAUUCUUAUUGAUUUCAAUAAAGUUUUAUAGAUAUAAUAUGGUAUAAAUAUUUAUUACUCCUUACAAUUCGCGGAUCUACUAACGGACAUAUAACUAUCGCUACUGCUCGGAACUCUCUCUCUCUCUUUCUCACACCACACAAAAACUGGACGCGUUGGAGAAAAAAAUGGUAAGUUACCCUAAAUAUAUUUGAAUUACAUCAACAAUCUCAAAUAUGUUAUUUUUAAAUUUUCAUUCACUUUUUACAGAACAAAAUGUUACGCCGCCUUCGCGGUAACAUGUAUAAAAAUAACUGGUGGAGAGGCGAAAGGGGAGCAGGAAGGGGAAGAGGAAGAGGAGGAAGAAGAGGAGGAGGAUGAGCGAGGGGGGGGGGACGUGUAUGCUUUUCAAAGGAGUUAGAUAAAAAAAAAAUUUUUUUUAAAAUAUUGACUUUAUUUUUAGUUGUAUUGUCCUCCUCCUGUUGUAGUCAUAAAUUACUUUCAGGUAUAGGAAAGAAGAAAAAUUAUUGUAAAUAUCGACUAGACUCUGCCGAAUAAGCGAGACUUGAAAUAUUACAUUUGUGACAUUUUUCUGAUUACAAUGAUAUUUACAAUAAUUUUUCUUCUAGCCGUUAGACCCUUACUUUCAGGUAUCGCGUCAUCACGCAGCCUAUUCGUAGGCACAUGGACAUGCCACCGGGUGUUGCAUGUGUGCGCGUGUCUCGGCACGGCUGCUCGCUAGCUUUCAUGGUCGGCAUCAUGCUGCCGAAUAUUGUUAAUUAUGACAGAAAAGAGCAAAAGUAGAGUCCCUAUGGGAGCUUGCGCUCUAGUUUGAACAUUUAUUUAGCGGAAACGACUUUUGAGAGGUCUCGAAUCUGCAUUGUCGAGACAUAAAUAGGACAAUACGGAACCCUUGCAGUCUCGUAGGCACACGGACAUGCCACCGAGCGUUGCAUGUGUGAGUGUGUCUCGGCACGGCUGCUCGCUCCAACGAUACAUUGUCGCUGACGUCUCGCUUGCUUAUAAAGCCUACCUUACCUUACCAGCAUCAUAUUUUGAACAGCAGAAAUUGCAUUCAGCUCCUCUACUGGCUAAAUGUUUUACUUAAUUUACUUCUUCUAGUGGCCGCUCGGUUUUUAUGUCGCGUCGAUCUUUUCGGCGAAGGAGUCCACUCCCUUAAACAACAAACACAAACUUGAAUUUAAAAAUUACAACAUAAUCAGAAACGACAGAAUACACUCCAUACAAGCAGGAGGCACGACCAUACUAAUAAGAAUAGAACUCAAAUAUGAAAUAGUAACAGCUAGUCCAAUAAUAAACCAAAAAAUAAUAGAACUAACAACAGUAAAAAUACCCCUUGACGCAACUAACAAAUUCCUCAUAAUAUCAACCUACAGUGCACACGGGCAGGCCAUGACAUUCUCUUCACAACUACACAACAUCUUCAAAUCUUUAGAACUCCACAAAGCAACCACCUAUUACAUACUAACAGGAGACUUAAAUGUUAAGCACAAGAACUGGAAAAACAGCGUCAACAACGCAAAAGGAGUAGCACUAAAUGAUUGGCUACAAAUCCACAAAAACAGAUACAGAAUAAAUUUAAUUCACCCAGAAAAACCAUCCUUUCCCAGAAGCAACGCAUUCUUCUAGACAACAGACUGACAAAUAAUUCCUGCUCAAACCCAUCCGAAUCAAAAGUUAUCCCCUAUGACAGCGAUCACCUAGCCAUCAAAUUAAUUAUCAUAUCCCCAUCACAAUUAGGCACCUUCAAACUCCAAUCCUCCACAGAUUCAAACGCUUUCCUCUUUAGAAAAAUAAACUGGAACCGUUUCCAACAUCACCUAAAAAAGAAUACACACCACUUAAACCCCAUCAACCCAAAAUCUAACCAACACACAGAUAGAAAACCACAUUGAAACAAUAAACAAACAUAUCCUACAAUCAAUGCACAAAUCCAUACCUAAAUAUAAAAAAUACAAUAGUGUAGAAAAUUACAUAAACAGAACAAUAGAAAAUCCGCAAAAACAAAAAAGCAGAUAUAUAUCCAGCCUCUUCAAAUUAUAUAGAAACCCCAACAGCCAAACACACCUACUCAUUCCUCAUAUAAAAAAACCCAUAAAAAAUCUCAACUAUAACCUAAAAAGAGAAUAUAAAAAAUCAGCAUCCACCUACUGGAACAACAAAAUUUCAAACCUUUCGCCUCACAACCUAGAAGACAUGCAUAACACUAUUAACAAAAUUUUCAAACCCCAAAGCCAAACAGAAAUAAAAUCACUAAAAACACACAAAGAUGAUCCGCUACUAAGAGAAUCCAACAUCGCUCAACACAAUACAACAUCACUGUCAAACAACUUCAUCCACAUAAGCAGCACCCCAGAAAAACUCUCAAUCUUGGGUACUCACUUCCAAAAAAUACAUACAUCCAAUAUCACAAUUCCAAACUCAGCCAAUAGUACUCUAGAACAAAGCAUAGAAAACAAGAUAAACCAAUUCAAUAUCAACACACCACAAAAUCACCUUGUUCAAUUCAGUGAAACAAACCCCACAACACAACCAUCCGAAAACUUCAACUAUUACCUCAUCAACUUCAUAGUGUUGCGUAUCGCUACUUUUGAUAGAGAUAAAUUAAUUCCCAUGUCACUCCUAGAUGGCAGCGGAGACCCGUUUGCUCGUUGUUAUGGAAUGUGAAUGAGCCUUUGCGUUUGGCAAUUCUGUUUGAAGUUAGUUCAGCGCCAACUACGGUUUUCUUGAAUUUACGGUAUUUCGUUUUUUUUUUUUGAUUGCAUUUUAUUUAAAACAAUUUUUUAAUGCUCACUCGCAUAGCGACCGUUAACUAGUAUAGACGUCUAUUGUAAAAGCUUGUAUUUAAAGUAAAGGAAUUCAACUUUUGUGUUAAAUUAGUUAUAUUUAAACAGUUAAAAUAAAGUUCAUAUUACAUUUCUUAAUUUAUCUUAAAUUAACUUAUUCCUGGCUAAGUCGCACGCAGUUCUAAUAAUUUUGUCACGUGCGGGGUGAACGCCAGAAAAACCCUAAGUCCUUAAAAAUAAAACCGCACGGAUUCGCAACAAAAUUGGUGACAGCGGUGGGAUCUUUCCAACAUUAAAUAAUUUUAUUAACUCGGGGCAUUAGAAUCAGUGCAUCUUAUCCCUCUUGGGUUUUCCGCACAGUUUCCCCAGGAGCAAGGGCGAAUGCCGGAGAAGGUAAUCUCGACGACCGUGCAAGUUAAUAAUCGUUGAUCAUAUGCACCUUCCCUACGGGUCUUCCUGGUGAACCAGAUCGAGGGACGAUCAUCGCUGGACGAGGACUCAGGAAAAGGAUAGCUGGACGAGGAUUCAGGAGAAGGAUAGCUGGACGAGAAUUCAGGAGAAGGAUCGGGCAAUAGCGUUGGGCUAACGACGGCAACACCGAGCGAUGCGGAUUAGAGGCUACCGAUCCCGUCCAACCCGGCGCCGGCUGCACGGACUGGCCAGACGAAGCUCAAAUGGACAGGGGCUGGAGGUUCUUGGUAAUAACCCCUGGACUCCGCUACGACCUUCAGGGGGCAGGAGGCCGUUUAGGAUAGCGAAGUCAGCCGGGUUCUCGAGUGCACCGAGACCCCGCCCGCUCCAGAGUCUUCGAGGGAUGCCAGCACCGACACGCCACCAAAGUCGCCGAGGGACGAGACUGGACAGCCGCCGAUGACGAGCGCGCCGAUAACGCGAUUUGAAUUUGGCCGCCAUAAGGUGACGUGUGCCGCCGAGCAUUGAGGUGAGGCUUGGGGGAAGCGCGUAAGUCAACGCUUGCGACGAGCUCGCGUAGCUCGUCCUAUUUCGUCAGUGACACACGUGGUGGACGGUACGGUAAGCGCUUCCUCCUUUACCUCACGCUCAUGGAUAGGAUAUCGUGAAUUGGUCGGGUUACCUGGUGGCUGCCGAGCCCCCUGUCGGGCGAAGUAGCGUUGUUAGCGGGAAACCGCCUUUGCGUAGGAGCGAAUUAACGAACAUCUAGUCGCGAGUCCAUUGUAACGCCCACGUGUUUGAAUCGCUGCCGGUUAACGUUCUCGUCGAAGAAGUCGAGCCCACCGCGACCGCGUCAAGACUGUCCGAACAUCGUUUCCAAAGUCGCUUUUGUGCGAAUCGUGACGGGCACGUGUUUUCGAAACGUAGUUCUCGUGUGGGUUACCGGUCGUCCCGGUGACCUUUGACGCUACGACAGCUCGGCAGCGUACACCGAAUUUUGUAACAUCUUUCGCGUACAAUAUAUUCUAUAUUAUCUUAAACGAGUGCUGUGUUAAUCCGCCCCGUCUUGCCGUGAAGACGGCUUUCUCAGACUUCCUUUCCUCGCCGACGGUCCACGCCCCUCUCCGCGAUCCGGAUCGCUAGCCGUGGUAAUUUUCGAGACGUUCGGCUUCUCACGCCGGUAUCUCCUGAUACCUGGCGCUCGGGUUUUCCCGUAUAGGCGUGAGGAGUCGGAAAACUCUCAUUUUGCACGUUUCCCGACGCGGAUCGCGGACCUUGUCGGGAAAUCACGUUGCAGUAUAUAUAAAUGUAUAUUGAGUAUAUGUUUAUAUACUCAAAGGAACUACUCUUCGACCAUUGGUCAAAGCUGCAGUCAGCCUGUCAUCGAGAUGGAAUUUUUGCUAUAGUUCUCGAAUUCGACGUAUGUGCAUUAGCGUCAAGUCUCAAUUUUGGUAUGGAGAUGUUGGUUACGCUCUGCUCAGUGUAUAAAGAGUAGGCUUGAGCAGUCCAUGUAUAUAUGGUCGAAGAUGGUUACGGACUACACUAUAGCUUGAGCAGUCCAUGUAUGUAUGGUCGAAGACGAUACCUGCGAACCAAGUCGAAAAACGUAUUUAGAUGGUCGACACGGUAACAGAAAGGUAGACGACGACAGCGCUGCGGUAGAAAGCACGAUAUUGAGGCAGCCAUGUUGGCAUAUGAAUCGUCUCAAUCGUAGCGACAACACCAUUGUAAUUUCAUGAGGCGAAAAAGCAACCUUUUUAGCUGAUUUUUUUUUAAUCUGUUCCUUGUACAGUGUUGCUGCGGAAGAUAGUUAAAGAUUUUUGGAAAAAGACCCACAAAAAAUGUCUUGUCUUUAAACGUAUUUUUAGCACGUUUCAAAAGCGAAUUGCAGAAUCUGUAACUAUCCCCCGCAGCGGAAUUUUAUAAGGAACAGUUUGAAUCGUGAGAAAAUAUUGCUUCUUCACUUCAAAAAACUUGAUGAGCUUCGUUGCUGUGAAAUCUUGAUAAUUUGUAUGGCAAUAUGGUUGCUCCGCUAUCACGCUGUCCACUGCAGCGCUGCUGUCGUCUCUGCUGCGGUUGUUACGCUAGUAGUCUAAGACGCUUUUCAUCAUGGUUCAGUAUCGUAGUAAGUUUAAAAAAUGCCCGCAGUCAUACAUUUUUCUUUUAAGUAAGUGUGUAUAUGUAUAUAGAAAUUGGUAAAAAAAAUUAUGUACGUGUAAACUAA
This is a long non-coding RNA of Hylaeus volcanicus, 5483 nucleotides long. RefSeq lists it as uncharacterized. The transcript has 2 exons. NCBI's taxonomy places the organism in Eukaryota, Metazoa, Arthropoda, Insecta, Hymenoptera, Colletidae. The record is from RefSeq and is a predicted model, not a curated record.